Molecule: ribosomal RNA, 129 nt
Filed under: Klebsiella pneumoniae
Lineage: Bacteria; Pseudomonadati; Pseudomonadota; Gammaproteobacteria; Enterobacterales; Enterobacteriaceae
Description: partial 16S ribosomal RNA
Rfam family: Bacterial small subunit ribosomal RNA
Source: RNAcentral
AAAUUGAAGAGUUUGAUCAUGGCUCAGAUUGAACGCUGGCGGCAGGCCUAACACAUGCAAGUCGAGCGGUAGCACAGAGAGCUUGCUCUCGGGUGACGAGAGGCGGACGGGUGAGGAAUGUCUGGGAAA